GAUGAACGCUGGCGGCGUGCCUAAUACAUGCAAGUCGAGCGAACAGAUGAGGAGCUUGCUCCUCUGACGUUAGCGGCGGACGGGUGAGUAACACGUGGAUAUCCUACCUAUAAGACUGGGAUAACUUCGGGAAACCGGAGCUAAUACCGGAUAAUAUAUUGAACCGCAUGGUUCAAUAGUGAAAGACGGUUUUGCUGUCACUUAUAGAUGGAUCCGCGCCGCAUUAGCUAGUUGGUAAGGUAACGGCUUACCAAGGCAACGAUGCGUAGCCGACCUGAGAGGGUGAUCGGUCACACUGGAACUGAGACACGGUCCAGACUCCUACGGGAGGCAGCAGUAGGGAAUCUUCCGCAAUGGGCGAAAGCCUGACGGAGCAACGCCGCGUGAGUGAUGAAGGUCUUCGGAUCGUAAAACUCUGUUAUUAGGGAAGAACAAAUGUGUAAGUAACUAUGCACGUCUUGACGGUACCUAAUCAGAAAGCCACGGCUAACUACGUG
RNAcentral lists this ribosomal RNA (497 nucleotides) under uncultured bacterium. RNAcentral describes it as "partial 16S ribosomal RNA". It matches the Rfam family "Bacterial small subunit ribosomal RNA", at positions 28 to 507 of the family's 1533-position model. The record is from RNAcentral.